Molecule: long non-coding RNA, 317 nt
Filed under: Ananas comosus (pineapple)
Lineage: Eukaryota; Viridiplantae; Streptophyta; Magnoliopsida; Poales; Bromeliaceae
Description: long non-coding RNA (ACOM_LNC000849)
Source: RNAcentral
AUCAGUACACUUUGCCCAGACAUGCUUUUUAGCUCCGUUUCGAUUCUAUUUCGCGCCGAACAACGCUAAAACCUUUCCAACUCCUUCUAAACUCACUUUUAAUCCUUCCAACUUUAUUGGAAUGUUAAAUAGAACUCGUCCAACCAUUUCAUUCGCAUGUUUUAGUCAAUUUGACUAAAGUACAAUAUUUUUUUACCGAAGUUUCGGCAUGUUACAUUCUCCACCCCUUAAAAGAAUUUCGUUCGCGAAAUUAAAUCCAUACCGCAAUUCAGCUCUUCAACAGAGUUAUCGGCCAAGCCGCUUCCGUCGGUUUCCAC